RNAcentral lists this ribosomal RNA (253 nucleotides) under uncultured bacterium. Its description in RNAcentral is "partial 16S ribosomal RNA". It matches the Rfam family "Bacterial small subunit ribosomal RNA", at positions 524 to 776 of the family's 1533-position model. The record is from RNAcentral.
UACGUAGGGUGCAAGCGUUGUCCGGAAUUAUUGGGCGUAAAGAGCUCGUAGGUGGUUCGUUAAGUCUGAUGUGAAAGCCCUGGGCUCAACCUGGGGAUUGCAUUGGAUACUGGCGAGCUAGAGUGCGGUAGAGGAUGGCGGAAUUCCCGGUGUAGCAGUGAAAUGCGUAGAGAUCGGGAGGAACAUCUGUGGCGAAGGCGGCCAUCUGGACCAGCACUGACACUGAGGCACGAAAGCGUGGGGAGCAAACAGG